UAGAUGGAGGCUUGCAGGUUUAGGGCGUCUAGCUGUUAACUAGAAGUUUGUGGGAUCGAGGCCCGCCCAUCUA
Molecule: transfer RNA, 73 nt
Filed under: Podargus ocellatus plumiferus
Lineage: Eukaryota; Metazoa; Chordata; Aves; Caprimulgiformes; Podargidae
Description: tRNA-Asn
Rfam family: tRNA
About the family: Transfer RNA (tRNA) molecules are approximately 80 nucleotides in length. Their secondary structure includes four short double-helical elements and three loops (D, anti-codon, and T loops).
Source: RNAcentral